GCUGGUCUUCGGGGUGGAAGAGUCACCGCUGCUAACAGAGCCCCACCCUCAGCUGUGGAUAAAAGGCAGGGGCGGAGAUGAAUAGGUGUGGCAGACAACUAUUUGUCUCCCUGUCAGUCAGCCACGUCUAAUUGGAACUCCUGACUCUUGUUUGGAAACUUGCUGGAGUUUUCCUCAGAUCCUAUGGCGCUGGGAGUCAGAGCACCUUCUGAGUGUGUAAAAUAAAAGCUACUCCUCUGGGAAUACAUUUGUGCACCUGUCAGAUGUUUGACUCUGAGGAAAAACUUUGAGGAGACUGAGCUACAAGAGGAGAGAUGCCUCCAGAGUCAAGAUGAAUGGCAUUGGCUCUAUAGAAUAAUGGCAUAAAUAUUAUGAAAGAUUUGCUUUGAAUAUUUGAUCAUAUCUCUGAUUCAAACUUCUCCAUUACAUUCAAGUCUGCCAAAAUUUUGGAAGCUUCUGGAGCAUCAGGACCAACAGUGAAAUUAAUAAAGGUUCCAAUUGUAUCUAUUGUUUAUCUCUCUGCCUGACUGUCUGUGUCCCUGUCUCUCUGUGUAUGUCUGUGUGUAUAGUAACUUGUGUUCUUUAUACUUUAAAAGUCCAAAGUAAGAGUGUUAUGCUAAUUUUAGCCGAAUCCUCAAAAAUUGGUUUUCCAGCUAUUUAUAAGUAGGGAUUACUGUAUAAUGUCAAUUUCUCAUUAAAUUUGGAGUCAAAAUUUAAUUUUAUUCCUUAGAGUAUCUAAAAGUGUGUGACCAUCUUUAAUGCUAUAUAAAUAAUCAAAUUACUUCUAUAGUUAAAUAUAGGAAUUUGCCAGGGUUUUAAGGGAACUUUGCUAUCAAAUGCAGUACGGAUCUUUGAAUAAGAAAAUUCUUGGAAAUUCUCUUGACAAUAGGGGUUUAUUCCACUAUGCUUAUUCUGUGCUGAUUUAUUGACAUAUAAAAACAAUAAAAUGAAGAGAAAUGUAUAUUUUCUAUCUUGCACUCUGUUUUAAAUAUUUUAAUGUGAUCUAUGAGUUUCCUUCUACCUUGUUGCUAUGUUACAGGUUUGUAAGCACAUCAACAGCAGUUCUCAAGUGUCAAGGUUAUGAUUUAACAGCCAAACAGCUUAUGUAAUGAUGUAAUGUAAUAUAAGGUAGAUGUUGCAAUAAUAGGAAUGACUCAGCAGGUGUGUGUAUCCCUUUAAGAGUCUGAGUAUAAAAGGGAAGGCUUUUGCUGUUGUAUUUUCUCUUGUCUGUUUCCUGCUGUAAUUGCUGUGCAUUGGAAUUUGCUGAAUUAUCACCAUGUGUAUGUAUUUUGUUUCUAGUGUAUAUUUGUAGAUAGUAUAUGAUAAAUCACUAUUUAAUAUAAACCACUGUUUACUGUAUUUACUCCUAGAUUACCUCAGCGCAAUAACACUGUGCAUGCUCCAAUGAAUGGAAACUGAUCAAGGCGAGAAGCAACUUAGAACUAAGGAGAA
Long non-coding RNA from Crotalus tigris (Tiger rattlesnake), 1452 nucleotides. RefSeq lists it as uncharacterized. Lineage: Eukaryota; Metazoa; Chordata; Lepidosauria; Squamata; Viperidae. The transcript is spliced from 3 exons. The record is from RefSeq and is a predicted model, not a curated record.